Molecule: long non-coding RNA, 3691 nt
Filed under: Panax ginseng (ginseng)
Lineage: Eukaryota; Viridiplantae; Streptophyta; Magnoliopsida; Apiales; Araliaceae
Description: long non-coding RNA (PGIN_LNC011589)
Source: RNAcentral
UCUCUAGAACCUUCAUUCCAUACCCCGACUCGUACUCGCUAUAUUCUCGCCUCCUGAGAAGAAAAAUGGAACAAAAAGGAAAAGGGUGAGCUCAACUAGCCCAGUAAAGAAUAUUAUGACUAAGAUAAUAUACAACAAAUUAUCGUUAGUCUUCAACAGGGAAAAAUCUAAUAGAAUACAAUAGACAACAAGUUUUAAAUCAAUAUUCGCAGCGGAAAUAAUAAUUCAUUAGAAGAGUUAAGUAGAGAAUGCAAACUACUAUCUUCUAUGUAUGAAUUUAAAAGUUCAUCGUCUAUCUUUUAUCCCUGUAACAUCAAUCAAUAUAUAUCUGGAAUCAAAUAUUCAUCUUUGCACUACAGGCCAAAGAUAUUCAUCAGUUGGUCAUGUUCAUCUAAACACCUGUUCAUCUUUGCACUACGGGCCAAAGAUAUUCAUCAGAAAUCAUUCAUCUUUGCACUACAGGCCAAAGAUAUUCAAUAAUAUCAUCAUUUAAGACUGAGGAUGAUGAAAAAAAUUUUUUUUUUAAAGAAACGAAUCCAGUGAAACAAAAUGACAAGGAUUAAGGAUUAAGGAUUCGUACUUUGUUUUAUCCACGUCCAAAAAUACCUCAAAAAUAAUCAUAGUGGUGUAAAAUUCAAGAAUGAUCAAAACAUGGAUACAAUCAAAGCUAGUAUCCACAAUAGAUAUUUUGGACGAAAAGAAAAAUUUUCAUUUUUCGAUGAAUAGUGCCGUAUUCGUGAAUAGUACCGUAUACGUGAAUAGUGCCGUAUACGUGAAUAGUAACUCCGACACCAAAAGUUCCAAAUUUGAUAAAAACUUCAGAUCAAUAUUUCAGCAUAAUGAUAUUGAAGAAAUAAUAUCAUUACGAAAAAAAAUAAUAUCCCUUACCUCGGAAAGACAGUACUUCUAACUGGAAUACUGGAUAUAGGCUAUAACUUGAACUUUCACCGUAUAGCAAUACUCAAAGUAUACUCAAAAUACUCACAAGAAUACGCUCGAUAAUAUAGAGAGAGAAAACUUCAGUUUCUGGUGUGAUUUUCAAUUCUAACCUAAGCACCUAUUUAUAGGAAAUUGCUUAGAACACCAAAGCAGAAAAUUUAAUAUAAUAUUAAUAUAUAUAAAAAUAUUAUACGUAUUCCUUGAAAUCUUAAUCUCAGCAAUUCACACAUGCCAACCUUCUAGAAAAAAAUAAAAAAAACGUUUUUCUAAUUUAAAAUAUUUUAAACUUCCAAAAAUCAAUUAUUUCGGAGCUUCGGAACUUCAAUAAUUCAUAAUAAAUAGCCCUUUUAUCAGAAAAUUCGAAUCUCGCGAGUUUUUAUAGGAAAUUCAAUUCUCUACAACUUUGCAGAAGAAAGUUUUUCCAAAUUCCAAACAGAAAUUGACCGAAAUCCACAAACGGGCGAUUUUAGAGGCUAUAAUCAAAUUUCAGUCAAUAAAUGGGGUCCACCGACAUGUUUAACAUGUUUUAAACAUUUAUUGCAACAAAAAUACUCUUCCUCCUCGUAUACUCAUAUAUCCCACAUUCGUUGUAAAAAUAUCACCAUUAUUAUAUUAUUAAAAUAUAAUAAUAUAUAUAUUUAAAUGAAUUAUUUUAUCAGAAAAAGAUAAAAUUUCAAUUUUCAACAAUUGUCACAUUAAAAAUUUUCUCCAUCUAUAUCCACAUAAAAUCAAUAUUUUCCUCAUCAUAUGAAUCAAUAAUUAAUUAUUCACAAAUAAUAUUACAGAAUCACAAUAUUGACAACCAGGCAGUUCCCAGGAAAGAGGGGGCUUUCCAAUAAGAAUUUCUCCUUACUGGCGCGCAAUUAGGUGACCAAACCUCUCCUUAGACAGAACUUUCUAGACAUUGCCAAUAAUGUUAUCUAAUAAUAUUAUUCAGAUAAUAUGAAUUAUUGCUUCGAUAAUGAAAAAUACUGUGUAAUGACAAUUAUUGAAACAACAGCAAUAUAAAAUAUCAACGCAGCAAUUAUUGAAUCAAUAAAAUAAAAUACUGAACAGUAAUUACUGUAACCAUUAUUGAGUAGUGCCUUCUUACGUAAGAGUCAAUAAUUGGUGCAAUACCGUGUGCUACUGUGCAACAACGCGUAUUACUGUGUUUUAACCACCGGGUAUUCCAACAGUGUAAACGGUAACAACUACGCCGUUAUUUUUAAACAACUUAUAUUUGUCGUUUUCUUCCUCCAAUCGCUUUCCGUUAUGGGGCCCACACAUGGCUGCGCCGUCGUACGAAUAUUCCCCGACAGUACGAAUAUUCCACGACUGUACGAAUAUUCCCCGACAACAAUGAAUAUUUUAUAACCACUUGCUUAUUUUGAAAUAUUUGCGUAUUUUACUCAUAACUAUUCACAUUAAUCAAAUCAACCCUUACUAUUUCAAAAUAAUAAAUAGAGAAAAUUAAAUUUUAUUAAUAACAAGUUGAGGUCUUACACAGAAACAAUUUGCAAUGAUUAUAUUUUUGAUAUUAUAAUAUCUGAUUAAAUAUGGUAUUAAAUAAUCCCUCAUAUUAAAUCAUUUUAUAAUUCUUAAACUAAUUAAUAAUUCCAAAUUUAAAUUGAAAACUAACAAGGGACAAGAAUUUCUCCCCGAAUAAUCACAAAAAUUCAUUAAUUUCUUAAAUUACUUUUUGCAUAUAUCAAUCAGAACUAUCAAAUACCAACGUACUAACAAGUAUGACAACAAAAAUUCAUUAAUUUCUUAAAUUACUUUUUGCAUAUAUCAAUCAGAACUAUCAAAUACCAACGUACUAACAAGUAUGACAAGAUUAAUUUACCAAGGGACAAGAUAGUUCCUUUUUGUUCUUCUUUUUUGCGUACAUAUUCAGAACAAAAUAACGGAACCGGUUAUCAACAUGGUAAGUUAGUCAAUUAAUCAAUACAAUAUUAACACGCAUAGAAGAGCUAGAGAGAUCAUCUUCCGGCCUGAACACUGAUCAAUUGAUCAAAGUUAACUGAAAGAAAUAUUAAGAAACACUUACAACAUCUAGCCACCGGGUGGCGAAAACGGCUCCUCCGAUGAACAUGAAUAUACAAAAUAUGGUGGCAGUACUCGUUAAACCUCCUUUCCUCAUAAUCUGCCACCAACUCUUAGUACUCUUAUCUGAUGCACCACCGUCAUAUUCUUCCAUCGCCAAACCUACCUCACCGGUCGGAGUUUUUUUUGGCUGGAGGAGAUCAAGUCCUAAUUCAAUUCAAGUAUAUUAACUUGUUGCCAUAUUAGUCAAUGGAGAUUAGUCAAAAAAAGAAAAAAAGAAAUUUCCAAGGACCAGAAGGAAAGAUAAAGGAUAAGUAUUAAUUUUGUGACUUACCAAAUCAAAUCAAAUAAAAUUGUACAUGCAUGCAUAUGGUGCUCUACAGAUUUAGAGGCUAAAACAUAUAUGAAGUUUGUUUCAUGCAUGUUUGGAUUGUAUGAAGAAAGAGAGGAGGCUAGUUUUUUGAGAUUUUCCAGAAUAUAUCGAAAUAAUUAAACGAUUAUAUAUGCAAUUCUAGUUUAAUUUGUUAAAAAAAAUAAUUAGGCAUGUUGUGCACGGUAAGAUAAAAUAAAAUAAAUUAUAAAGUCAAGCACAUGAUCAGAAGAAUCACGAAAUAUAUUCAGUUGAAUCAGUUCUUGACAUAGACGUGCUGGCGAGUAGCAAUAUUUGAAUCAAAAAUUAAGACGCUUAAUUUCAUAGGAAGAUUAUAUAAUUGAAGUUCAGAAU